GGUUCGAAUCCGGCAGGUCGGAUUCUUUUUCCUUUUGUCCAUUUAAUUGUAUAUGCCUCACUCCUUCAAAGUCCAAGGCAGUGAAGGCACACAAGAAUUAAGCCUGGCCAGUAGACUGUAUAUGCAAGGAGAAUAGCAUAUUGAGAGAAUGGAAAUUUUUUAUUAAGCCCAUCAAGAUCACAACAUUAAUUAUAAAUGACAAAUUAGAUAGUUAAAU
RNAcentral lists this unclassified non-coding RNA (217 nucleotides) under Hevea brasiliensis (rubber tree). The record is from RNAcentral. Lineage: Eukaryota; Viridiplantae; Streptophyta; Magnoliopsida; Malpighiales; Euphorbiaceae.